CCCGGUGGCCAUAGCGGAGGGGUCACACCCGGUACCAUUCCGAACCCGGAAGUUAAGCCCUCCAACGCCGAUGAUACUGCCUGGGCAGCUGGGUGGGAAAGUAGGACGCUGCCGGGA
RNAcentral lists this ribosomal RNA (117 nucleotides) under Candidatus Atribacteria bacterium. The record is from RNAcentral. Lineage: Bacteria; Pseudomonadati; Atribacterota; Atribacteria.